CUUUAAACCAGCUCAUGGUUUAAGGCGGAAGGAG
RNAcentral lists this non-coding RNA (34 nucleotides) under unclassified sequences. The record is from RNAcentral.